AUCGUACCCCAAACCGACACAGGUGGUCAGGUAGAGAAUACCAAGGCGCUUGAGAGAACUCGGGUGAAGGAACUAGGCAAAAUGGUGCCGUAACUUCGGGAGAAGGCACGCUGACACGUAGGUGAAGUGAUUUACUCAUGGAGCUGAAGUCAGUCGAAGAUACCAGCUGGCUGCAACUGUUUAUUAAAAACACAGCACUGUGCAAACACGAAAGUGGACGUAUACGGUGUGACGCCUGCCCGGUGCCGGAAGGUUAAUUGAUGGGGUCAGCGCAAGCGAAGCUCCUGAUCGAAGCCCCGGUAAACGGCGGCCGUAACUAUAACGGUCCUAAGGUAGCGAAAUUCCUUGUCGGGUAAGUUCCGACCUGCACGAAUGGCGUAAUGAUGGCCAGGCUGUCUCCACCCGAGACUCAGUGAAAUUGAACUCGCUGUGAAGAUGCAGUGUACCCGCGGCAAGACGGAAAGACCCCGUGAACCUUUACUAUAGCUUGACACUGAACAUUGAGCCUUGAUGUGUAGGAUAGGUGGGAGGCUUUGAAGUGUGGACGCCAGUCUGCAUGGAGCCGACCUUGAAAUACCACCCUUUAAUGUUUGAUGUUCUAACGUGGACCCGUGAUCCGGGUUGCGGACAGUGUCUGGUGGGUAGUUUGACUGGGGCGGUCUCCUCCUAAAGAGUAACGGAGGAGCACGAAGGUUGGCUAAUCCUGGUCGGACAUCAGGAGGUUAGUGCAAUGGCAUAAGCCAGCUUGACUGCGAGCGUGACGGCGCGAGCAGGUGCGAAAGCAGGUCAUAGUGAUCCGGUGGUUCUGAAUGGAAGGGCCAUCGCUCAACGGAUAAAAGGUACUCCGGGGAUAACAGGCUGAUACCGCCCAAGAGUUCAUAUCGACGGCGGUGUUUGGCACCUCGAUGUCGGCUCAUCACAUCCUGGGGCUGAAGUAGGUCCCAAGGGUAUGGCUGUUCGCCAUUUAAAGUGGUACGCGAGCUGGGUUUAGAACGUCGUGAGACAGUUCGGUCCCUAUCUGCCGUGGGCGCUGGAGAACUGAGGGGGGCUGCUCCUAGUACGAGAGGACCGGAGUGGACGCAUCACUGGUGUUCGGGUUGUCAUGCCAAUGGCACUGCCCGGUAGCUACAUGCGGAAGAGAUAAGUGCUGAAAGCAUCUAAGCACGAAACUUGCCCCGAGAUGAGUUCUCCCUGAGACUUAGAGUCUCCUGAAGGAACGUUGAAGACGACGACGUUGAUAGGCCGGGUGUGUAAGCGCAGCGAUGCGUUGAGCUAACCGGUACUAAUGAACCGUGAGGCUUAACCUUACAACGCCGAAG
Molecule: ribosomal RNA, 1319 nt
Filed under: Salmonella enterica subsp. enterica serovar Stanley
Lineage: Bacteria; Pseudomonadati; Pseudomonadota; Gammaproteobacteria; Enterobacterales; Enterobacteriaceae
Description: partial 23S ribosomal RNA
Rfam family: Bacterial large subunit ribosomal RNA
Source: RNAcentral